RNAcentral lists this transfer RNA (74 nucleotides) under Rhizobium leguminosarum bv. viciae. Its description in RNAcentral is "tRNA-Gln". It matches the Rfam family "tRNA". From Rfam's summary of the family: Transfer RNA (tRNA) molecules are approximately 80 nucleotides in length. Their secondary structure includes four short double-helical elements and three loops (D, anti-codon, and T loops). Further hydrogen bonds mediate the characteristic L-shaped molecular structure. tRNAs have two regions of fundamental functional importance: the anti-codon, which is responsible for specific mRNA codon recognition, and the 3' end, to which the tRNAs corresponding amino acid is attached (by aminoacyl-tRNA synthetases). tRNAs cope with the degeneracy of the genetic code in two manners: having more than one tRNA (with a specific anti-codon) for a particular amino acid; and 'wobble' base-pairing, i.e. permitting non-standard base-pairing at the 3rd anti-codon position. The record is from RNAcentral. Lineage: Bacteria; Pseudomonadati; Pseudomonadota; Alphaproteobacteria; Hyphomicrobiales; Rhizobiaceae.
UGGGGAAUAGUUCAAUGGUAGAACGACGGACUCUGACUCCGUUAAUCUUGGUUCGAAUCCGGGUUCCCCAGCCA